RNAcentral lists this ribosomal RNA (252 nucleotides) under uncultured bacterium. RNAcentral describes it as "partial 16S ribosomal RNA". It matches the Rfam family "Bacterial small subunit ribosomal RNA", at positions 524 to 776 of the family's 1533-position model. The record is from RNAcentral.
UACGGAGGGCGCAAGCGUUGUUCGGAAUCACUGGGCGUAAAGCGCGUGUAGGCGGCCGGGCAAGUCGGAUGUGAAAUCCCGAGGCUCAACCUCGGAACUGCAUUCGAAACUGCUCGGCUCGAGUCCCGGAGAGGAUGGCGGAAUUCCCGGUGUAGGGGUGAAAUCCGUAGAUAUCGGGAGGAACACCAGCGGCGAAGGGGCCAUCUGGACGGUGACUGACGCUGAGACGCGAAAGCGUGGGGAGCAAACAGG